Molecule: ribosomal RNA, 927 nt
Filed under: Betta imbellis (crescent betta)
Lineage: Eukaryota; Metazoa; Chordata; Actinopteri; Anabantiformes; Osphronemidae
Description: partial 16S ribosomal RNA
Rfam family: Bacterial large subunit ribosomal RNA (bases 150-927)
Source: RNAcentral
UUAUUAAUAACCCCAAAUACACUAAAUACCAAAAACCAAACCAUUUUUCCCUCCGAGUAUGGGCGACAAAAAAGAAACACUUAUAAAGCUAUAGAAAAAGUACCGCAAGGGAACGCUGAAAAAGAAAUGAAACAUAACAAAGUUAAAAAAAGCAGAAAUUUACCCUCGUACCUUUUGCAUCAUGAUUUAGUAAGUAAAAACCAAGCAAAAAGCAUUUUAGUUUGACCCCCCGAAACUAAGUGAGCUACUCCAAGACAGCCUAUAAACAUAGGGCUAACCCGUCUCUGUGGCAAAAGAGUGGGGUGAACUUAGAGUAGAGGUGAUAGACCUACCGAACUUAGUCAUAGCUGGUUGCUUGAGAAUUGAAUAGAAGUUCAGCUUUUUGGUUUCUCAUAUCCAAAAUGCUUUAAUAUUACACCUGAAUUAAGAAACCAAAAAAGUUAGUUAAAGAGGGUACAGCCCCUUUAAACAAGACACAACUUCACCAGAUGGGUAAAGGUCAUAUUUAUUAAGGAAAAAUGUUUUAGUGGGCCUGAAAGCAGCCACCUGUAAGAAAGCGUUAAAGCUCCUUCAUAAUUCUAUCCAUUAAUCCCAAUAACCCUUUCCUAAACCCACUAACUUUAUCAAGCCACUCCAUGUUAACAUGGAUGAGAUCAUACUAAUAUGAGUAAUAAGAAAACUAGAUUUUCUCCAUGCACAAGUGUAACUCGAAACGGACCCCCCAUCGAACCUUACUUUUUCGGCCCCAAAAAAAGAGGGUAAUAGACCAUAACCUUAAUAACAAGAAAAGCAACCAAAAUACAACCGUUAACCCCACACUGGUGUUCUCACAAGGAAAGACUAAAAGAAAAAGAAGGAACUCGGCAAAUACAAGCCUCGCCUGUUUACCAAAAACAUCGCCUCUUGCUAAUUAAGAAUAAGAGGUCU